Long non-coding RNA from Notothenia coriiceps (black rockcod), 2576 nucleotides. RefSeq lists it as uncharacterized. Lineage: Eukaryota; Metazoa; Chordata; Actinopteri; Perciformes; Nototheniidae. The record is from RefSeq and is a predicted model, not a curated record. The transcript is spliced from 2 exons.
UGGUUAUAUCUUUUGUCCCAGAUUUCUGUGUGCUACAUCAACUCUCGUCCACACUCCACCAACCUGAGCCAUCAGGGCGUGCUGUUCAGCGGCCUGCUGCUUUACCUCUGUGACUCCUUCGUCGUUUCUGGACUCCUCAAGAAAUUCCGCUUCCUCAAAGGCGCCACUCUCUGCGUGAUCUGCCAAGACCGGAGCUCCCUGCGUCAGACCAUCGUCCGACUGGAGCUGGAGGAUGAGUGGCAGUUCCGCCUGCGGGACGAGUUUCAGACCGCCAACUGCAGUGAGGACCGGCCCCUCUACUUUCUGACUGGCCGCCAUGUUUGAACCUGACACAUGGAUCCACUGCUCGGCUGUAGAAACAUUAUAAAAAAGGAGGAAAUACUUUAUCCCAAACGAGCCAGCGAUCGUAAUUCUUGCCUUUCCAAUGGAAGGGCAGAGGGGAAAAGCUGGAGCCCAAGAUCCAAAGUGCCCCACAGGUGGACACAUGUGCACUAUGCCUGGCUCUGAACAGGGUCGGUGCUUGUUUUAACUUUUGCUUGGCGCUGGGUUGGUCUCCACUCGAGCUUGUGUUCUACAAAAGAAAAGACUGAUGUGGAAAAAGCCCAGCUGAAACUGAACUUUAUUUGUUUUGAGGUUUGCAUAAAUGGACGAUCCCAGAUCAAUGAUGUGACUAUUUGAAGAAUGUAUCUGUACAUAAAUAUAUGUACUUUGCCAGCUGUAUGUCCUUUUCUGGGUAUACUGUUUAUCUCAGGGUUUUAAAGGGAGAUCAAAGGGAGGUCGCUGAAGCUGUUCUCACCGUGUAUUGUUGGCAUUAACUUAUGUUGGCACUAAAGACAUCUCAGCUUUACCUUGCCUUUUCCCUUCGCUUUUCUUGUCCCUCCUCGCCUGCCCUGCCUCUCAAACAAAGCUCAUUGACAAGUCAACACACUACAUUAAAUAAAUAUCAACACAGAGAAUGGCCUGUAGCCUAUUUGAAUCAUAACACAAAUGAAAAUGGGGACUCCUUUUUUCUUGUGCCUCAAAAAAUAUUUAUGUGGCACUGAUAAUCCUUCUGACGGGGAGCUAUAUGAGUGUGGUUUAGUCUGUAAAUGACUGACACAUUCAUUUAUCCAAAGACUUUGACUACAACUAGAGAAAAGUACAAGUUGUGUCCUUUUAAGAAAUAGUUGUGUGUUGGCUUAACUACACAGCUUUGAAGCAGGUGUGUUGUCUAGAACAGACUUAUCUGUGUUGUUUUGCUUUUACAACGUAUCUGUUAAUAUUUUAUGCCAAUCAGGCUGAGCAUCAUGGAAGUGGGAUUAGUUUACUGGUAUGUUUUACAUUACAUAUGUUUUGGUUAGGCAUCUACUGACUUGAAUACUGGGUAUUUUAGCAUAAUCACAUAAAGUCAGUAAAUGCCAUAUAAUAAACCAGCCUCUUCACUGCCAAAUAUCCUGCUACUGACUGUGCCUGGGAUUUCACUUCCUGUUACAAUGUUCUGAGGUUUAUUGUAAGUAGAUGGUAAUGGCUACCAUCCACACUCACAAUCUGCCAACCUUUUGUCCCCAUAACAGAGGAAAAUCAAGGAAAGGGUUUCAAACUGUCGAAAGCAGCUGACCAGAUCAUUUCAUAUACUUGAAAGAAGAAUGUUUUUGUAUGUUUAUGUGCAGGGUUGUCCAAAGAAUGUGCCUUAGGUGACGUUUCAUACAGUCACAGCUUAAGUCAUUAUUUUUUUGGACCAAUAAGAAUGAAGAAACCAUUUAACUGUGAGGCGAAGAAGUGUAGUUUGUCUGAUUGAAGCAAAAUGAAAUAAUUGCAUUUCGUACUGUACUGUUUAAAGCUUUGUUUACAUUAUUAAUAUAUUAUAUCAUUCCCCAAACCACUGAGGGUUACUGAUGUUUUUUUAGUCUUGUGUAACUUCUGCCAGUCUGUUUCAGUCAUGACGUCUUUCUGCAUUUUAUUUGAUGUUGCAAUGGCAAAAAGAAUCUACCUAGAUGUGUCCUUAACCAUAUGUCUGUAUCCCGUCCUGUUCUUGUGUUGGAUUUUUAUUGAAAAUGAAAAUCAGGUCCAUGAGGGAUUCUUAUUUAUUUGACAAGCGUUUUGGACUGAUAAUCAUAUUGAAGUGUAAUAUUUGAUUGCAUGCUUAGCUCGCUUAAAAUUAGGGAGUUUGUCCUCUUCAAAACCAUCCGUGAAGGCUUUGCACAAGAGCCAAAGAAUGAUUCUUAGAUCUAUUGAAUGUCAAUGGGGGAAGGAAAUGUAAACUUGCACUAGUUGCCAGCAGAAAAAAUAUAUUUCCCACUGUUAAUUGCACGCCCCCAAAUUAGUCCAAAUAUAAGACUGGUGAUCAACAUUUUAAGUUAAACUCCAAUGGUCCGUAGAAUGUGUCUUUCUUUUGAAUAAUUUAACACUUAAUAUGCAACUUGCUCACACAAUCUUCACUGAAAUGUGUUUGAAAACCAUGUGCAGCCCAGUGUUAGCCUUGGUGUCCGGGUGAUCUACCUCAUGUUUAUCAUUGUGGUUGGGGGCUGUGAACAUAUGACAUUUAAGGCUAUUGUUGUUGAAAAUGUAUGAAUGUAAUAAAAUGGCUUCUAAAAUCA